This 430-nucleotide ribosomal RNA is filed under the name uncultured Elusimicrobium sp. RNAcentral's name for it is "bacterial SSU rRNA". It matches the Rfam family "Bacterial small subunit ribosomal RNA", at positions 958 to 1385 of the family's 1533-position model. The record is from RNAcentral. Lineage: Bacteria; Pseudomonadati; Elusimicrobiota; Elusimicrobia; Elusimicrobiales; Elusimicrobiaceae.
AACGCGAAGAACCUUACCUGGGCUUGAACUACUGGUGGUAAGUCUUUGGAAACAGAGGCUGACCCGCAAGGGAGCCAGCAGAGGUGCUGCAUGGUUGUCGUCAGCUCGUGUCGUGAGAUGUUGGGUUAAGUCCCGCAACGAGCGCAACCCCUAUCUCAUGUUGCUAUUCCCGCAAGGGAAGCACUCUUGAGAAACUGCCUUCGAUAAGAAGGAGGAAGGUGGGGACGACGUCAAAUCCUCAUGGCCCUUAUGUCCAGGGCAACACACGUGUUACAAUGGCCGGUACAGUGGGAAGCAAUACCGUAAGGUGGAGCCAAACCUCAAAGCCGGCCCCAGUUCAGAUUGUGGGCUGCAACUCGCCCACAUGAAGGCGGAAUCGCUAGUAAUCGCUGAUCAGCAGGCAGCGGUGAAUACGUUCCCGGGCCUUGUA